This is a non-coding RNA of Pelobates cultripes (western spadefoot toad), 258 nucleotides long. The record is from the annotation of a GenBank genome assembly. Lineage: Eukaryota; Metazoa; Chordata; Amphibia; Anura; Pelobatidae.
UUUUACUUUGUCUUGUAAUCCCAGUCCAUGUACAGUCCUGUUCAGUUAUGCCCAUGUUAUGUUCUUGUUUUCCUCAUGUCUUGUGUACUUGUUUUAGGUUCUGCUUUCUGUCCUGCUCUGGUUCUGGGUUCUCCUAGUUUUGUCUUGUGUUCAUGUAUGGUGUCUUGCUCUCCUAGUUCUGCCUUGAUUCAGUACUGGAUACAUCCCUGCUGCAGAGCCUCCCUAUUCAGCUCCUGGGAGGUCUGCUUAAUUAUCUGC